AAACGUUUGGAAUUAGUCAUGUCGGCAAGAAAUCAGCCUGGCUUUUGAGCCGGGUGCACUUUCUUGUAGGCAGGUCAGCGUCAGUUUUGGUUGCCAGAAAAAAGUUGAGAGAAUGUGGCUCGCUUCGGUGAGUGUUAUAGCUCUUGGCCAAUAUGGUGACUGGGACUGAGGUCUGCAGCCAACCGGUUUACCGUCAGGGGACUUCGUGUGCUAGUGGUGGUCUCUUUAUGAACAGCUUGCUGAUCAUGAUUUGAUAUGCUGCUACUCGCGCGUCUGUCUCUCUUCUUGGCUUAGGUCGCUGACUUAAUGAUUCCAAAUGA
Molecule: ribosomal RNA, 320 nt
Filed under: Sphaerocreas pubescens
Lineage: Eukaryota; Fungi; Mucoromycota; Endogonomycetes; Endogonales; Densosporaceae
Description: LSU rRNA
Source: RNAcentral